GUUAGGAAUAUUGGACAAUGGACGCAAGUCUGAUCCAGCCAUGCCGCGUGAGUGAUGAAGGCCUUCGGGUUGUAAAGCUCUUUAGCCGAUGAUUAUAAUGACUGUAGUCGGAAAAUAAGCCCCGGCUAACUUCGUGCCAGCAGCCGCGGUAAUACGAAGGGGGCGAGCGUUAUUCGGAAUCACUGGGCGUAAAGCGUGCGUAGGCUGUUUUGUAAGUCAGAAGUGAAAGCCCAGGGCUUAACCCUGGAAUUGCUUUUGAAACUACAAGACUCGAAUUCGGGAGAGGAUAGCGGAAUUGUCAGUGUAGCAGUGAAAUGCGUAGAUAUUGACAGGAACACCAGUGGCGCAAGCGGCUAUCUGGACCGAUAUUGACGCUGAGGCACGAAAGCGUGGGGAGCAAACAGGAUUAGAUACCCUUGUAGUCC
RNAcentral lists this ribosomal RNA (425 nucleotides) under uncultured bacterium. RNAcentral describes it as "partial 16S ribosomal RNA". It matches the Rfam family "Bacterial small subunit ribosomal RNA", at positions 354 to 796 of the family's 1533-position model. The record is from RNAcentral.